This 215-nucleotide ribosomal RNA is filed under the name uncultured bacterium. Its description in RNAcentral is "partial 16S ribosomal RNA". It matches the Rfam family "Bacterial small subunit ribosomal RNA", at positions 524 to 737 of the family's 1533-position model. The record is from RNAcentral.
UACAGGGGGGGGCAAGCGUUGUUCGGAAUUACUGGGCGUAAAGGGCUCGUAGGCGGCCAACUAAGUCCGACGUGAAAUCCCCAAGCUUAACUUGGGAACUGCGUCGGAUACUGGAUGGCUUGAAUUCGGGAGAGGGAUGCAGAAUUCCAGGUGUAGCGGUGAAAUGCGUAGAUAUCAGGAGGAACACCGGUGGCGAAGGCGGGUCUCUGGGCCGA